ACGGUGGCCCUUAGGUGCGAAACACAACAGAAAAUCAGAAAACACAACUACAAAAAGAGAAAAUACAGUGGUUAAUCUCUGUAUGUUUUCUAAUUUGCUGUUAUGUUUUGCACCUCAGGGCCACCAUA
Molecule: non-coding RNA, 128 nt
Organism: Xyrichtys novacula (pearly razorfish)
Lineage: Eukaryota; Metazoa; Chordata; Actinopteri; Labriformes; Labridae
Source: the annotation of a GenBank genome assembly